RNAcentral lists this ribosomal RNA (543 nucleotides) under Alionectes pulchricristatus. RNAcentral describes it as "Portunus pulchricristatus partial 16S ribosomal RNA". It matches the Rfam family "Bacterial large subunit ribosomal RNA", at positions 1811 to 2616 of the family's 2925-position model. Lineage: Eukaryota; Metazoa; Arthropoda; Malacostraca; Decapoda; Portunidae. The record is from RNAcentral.
AAACAUGUCUAUUUGAGGAUAUUUAUAGUCUAGCCUGCUCAGUGACAUAAGAGUUAAAUAGCCGCGGUAUCAUGACCGUGCAAAGGUAGCAAAAUCAUUAGUUUUUUAAUUGAAAACUCGUAUGAAUGGUUGGACAAAGAAAAAUCUGUCUCUGGUAUUAAGAUUGAAUUUGACUUUUAAGUGAAAAGGCUUAAAUUCUCUAGAGGGACGAUAAGACCCUAUAAAGCUUUAUAUAUUAAAUGAUUUUAUGGAUUUAAAAAAUAAAAAUUAUUCUGAAAAAUUUAUUUGGUUGGGGCGACAGAGGUAUAAUUUAGAUAACUGCUAGGAAUUUAUACAAUUAUUCUUGAAUUAUGUUUGUAAAUGAUCCUUGUUAGAGAUUAAAAGAUCAAGUUACUUUAGGGAUAACAGCGUAAUUUUUUCUGAGAGUACUUAUCAAAGAAAAAGUUUGCGACCUCGAUGUUGAAUUAGAAUGUCUUUAUAGUGCAGCAGCUAUAAAAGAAGGUCUGUUCGACCUUUAAUUUUUUACGUGAUCUGAGUUCAGAC